Molecule: ribosomal RNA, 519 nt
Filed under: uncultured bacterium
Lineage: Bacteria
Description: bacterial SSU rRNA
Rfam family: Bacterial small subunit ribosomal RNA
Source: RNAcentral
AGAGUUUGAUCCUGGCUCAGGACGAACGCUGGCGGUAUGCUUAACACAUGCAAGUCGAACGAGACGAGAUGGAAGGAUCCUUCGGGUGACGGAAAUCUUAGAAAGUGGCGAACGGGUGAGUAACGCGUGGGUAACCUGCCCUUUGGAAAGGAAUAGCCUCGGGAAACUGGGAGUAAUGCCUUAUAAUAUACGGGAGUCGCAUGGCUUUUGUAUUAAACGCUCCGGUGCCAAAGGAUGGACCCGCGUCCCAUUAGCUAGUUGGUGAGAUAACAGCCCACCAAGGCGACGAUGGGUAACCGGUCUGAGAGGGCGAACGGUCACACUGGAACUGAGACACGGUCCAGACUCCUACGGGAGGCAGCAGUGGGGAAUAUUGCGCAAUGGGGGAAACCCUGACGCAGCAAUACCGCGUGAGUGAAGAAGGUUUUCGGAUCGUAAAGCUCUGUUAUUGGGGAAGAAAAAAAGACGGUACCCAAGAAGAAAGUCCCGGCUAACUACGUGCCAGCAGCCGCGGUAAUA